Molecule: ribosomal RNA, 22 nt
Filed under: Botryosphaeria dothidea
Lineage: Eukaryota; Fungi; Ascomycota; Dothideomycetes; Botryosphaeriales; Botryosphaeriaceae
Description: partial 28S ribosomal RNA
Source: RNAcentral
UGACCUCGGAUCAGGUAGGAUC